CGUAGGGUGCAAGCGUUAAUCGGAAUUACUGGGCGUAAAGCGUGCGCAGGCGGUUAUGUAAGACAGAUGUGAAAUCCCCGGGCUCAGCCUGGGAACUGCAUUUGUGACUGCAUAGCUAGAGUACGGUAGAGGGGGAUGGAAUUCCGCGUGUAGCAGUGAAAUGCGUAGAUAUGCGGAGGAACACCGAUGGCGAAGGCAAUCCCCUGGACCUGUACUGACGCUCAUGCACGAAAGCGUGGGGAGCAAACAGGAUUAGAUACCCUGGUAGUCCACGCCCUAAACGAUGUCAACUGGUUGUUGGGUCUUCACUGACUCAGUAACGAAGCUAACGCGUGAAGUUGACCGCCUGGGGAGUACGGCCGCAAGGUUG
Molecule: ribosomal RNA, 370 nt
Filed under: uncultured organism
Description: bacterial SSU rRNA
Rfam family: Bacterial small subunit ribosomal RNA
Source: RNAcentral